This 207-nucleotide ribosomal RNA is filed under the name uncultured bacterium. Its description in RNAcentral is "partial 16S ribosomal RNA". It matches the Rfam family "Bacterial small subunit ribosomal RNA", at positions 568 to 774 of the family's 1533-position model. The record is from RNAcentral.
AGCGCAGGCGGGAGAACAAGUUGGAAGUGAAAUCCAUGGGCUCAACCCAUGAACUGCUUUCAAAACUGUUUUUCUUGGGUAGUGCAGAGGUAGGCGGAAUUCCCGGUGUAGCGGUGGAAUGCGUAGAUAUCGGGAGGAACACCAGUGGCGAAGGCGGCCUACUGGGCACCAACUGACGCUGAGACUCGAAAGUGUGGGUAGCAAACA